This 468-nucleotide ribosomal RNA is filed under the name uncultured Curtobacterium sp. RNAcentral's name for it is "bacterial SSU rRNA". It matches the Rfam family "Bacterial small subunit ribosomal RNA", at positions 916 to 1381 of the family's 1533-position model. The record is from RNAcentral. Lineage: Bacteria; Bacillati; Actinomycetota; Actinomycetes; Micrococcales; Microbacteriaceae.
GACGGGGCCCGCACAAGCGGCGGAGCAUGCGGAUUAAUUCGAUGCAACGCGAAGAACCUUACCAAGGCUUGACAUACACCGGUAACGCCCAGAGAUGGGUGCCCCUUUGUGGUCGGUGUACAGGUGGUGCAUGGUUGUCGUCAGCUCGUGUCGUGAGAUGUUGGGUUAAGUCCCGCAACGAGCGCAACCCUCGUCCUAUGUUGCCAGCGGGUCAUGCCGGGGACUCAUGGGAGACUGCCGGGGUCAACUCGGAGGAAGUGGGGAUGACGUCAAAUCAUCAUGCCCCUUAUGUCUUGGGCUUCACGCAUGCUACAAUGGCCGGUACAAAGGGCUGCGAUACCGCGAGGUGGAGCGAAUCCCAGAAAGCCGGUCUCAGUUCGGAUUGGGGUCUGCAACUCGACCCCAUGAAGUCGGAGUCGCUAGUAAUCGCAGAUCAGCAACGCUGCGGUGAAUACGUUCCCGGGCCUU